CCGAGUGUUUCUACUCUAAACCCACUGUGAACCUUACCACUGUCGUUGCUUCGGCGGGCGUCCGCGCCCGCCGGCAGCACCCAAACUCUUGAUUUUUGUAUGCCUCUCUGAGUACUAAAGACAAAACAAUCA
Molecule: unclassified non-coding RNA, 132 nt
Filed under: Graphium basitruncatum
Lineage: Eukaryota; Fungi; Ascomycota; Sordariomycetes; Microascales; Graphiaceae
Also listed under: 1 other name
Description: ITS1
Source: RNAcentral